GAUGAACGCUGGCGGCGUGCCUAAUACAUGCAAGUCGAGCGAACAGACGAGGAGCUUGCUCCUCUGACGUUAGCGGCGGACGGGUGAGUAACACGUGGAUAACCUACCUAUAAGACUGGGAUAACUUCGGGAAACCGGAGCUAAUACCGGAUAAUAUAUUGAACCGCAUGGUUCAAUAGUGAAAGACGGUUUUGCUGUCUCUUAUAGAUGGAUCCGCGCCGCAUUAGCUAGUUGGUAAGGUAACGGCUUAUCAAGGCAACGAUGCGUAGCCGACCUGCGAGAGUGAUCGGCCACACUGGAACUGAGACACGGUCCAGACUCCUACGGGAGGCAGCAGUAGGGAAUCUUCCGCAAUGGGCGAAAGCCUGACGGAGCAACGCCGCGUGAGUUAUGAAGGUCUUCGGAUCGUAAAACUCUGUUAUUAGGGAAGAACAAAUGUGUAAGUAACUAUGCACGUCUUGACGGUACCUAAUCAGAAAGCCACGGCUAACUACGUG
This 497-nucleotide ribosomal RNA is filed under the name uncultured bacterium. RNAcentral's name for it is "partial 16S ribosomal RNA". It matches the Rfam family "Bacterial small subunit ribosomal RNA", at positions 28 to 507 of the family's 1533-position model. The record is from RNAcentral.